This 496-nucleotide long non-coding RNA is filed under the name Rattus norvegicus (Norway rat). Its description in RNAcentral is "long non-coding RNA NONRATT026144". The record is from RNAcentral. Lineage: Eukaryota; Metazoa; Chordata; Mammalia; Rodentia; Muridae.
GUGUGUGUGUGUGUGUGUGUGUGUGUGUGUGUGUGUGUGUGUGUGUUUGUUCAUUUAUUUAUUUUCAAGAGCACAAAUCUACUUUUAUUUAUUUACUCUCCAUUAGUUUAAAUCCGGGAUGGGUACAGCAUCACACGGAUUCUGUGUCCAAUGGCCUUUGCAGGAAGGUUGCUUCGGAAUUUGGCAUGAACCAUGCCACUUUUUCCAUGGGCCCGAGUUACUUUUCCCCAGAUCACUCUGGUUUUGUUUGGUUUGCCUCCAGGAGUCACUGUAUUGUUUUUUGCUUUGUACACAUAAACACACCUCUUGCCUAAGUAGAACUCAGUUUCAUCUCGGGCAUAAACACCUUCAAUUUUAAGAAGAGCCGUGUACUCUCUUUGGUUCAGGAGGCCUGGCUUGUAGCCAGCAAAAAUGGCCUUGCACCACAGCCUUCCAGACAUACUUGUUUUUUUAGAAGUCCUGUUCCCAGUGGGCUUCCAAAGGCGCCAAGAUGGCG